CCAAUGAGAGUUCAGCAUACAUCCACGUCAAGCCUUCCUUUCCUCUGAUGGGCUUGAACCGAAAUUCGAGUCUGAGCUCAUCUCACGAUCAUUUCCUCUUUCUGCGAUGAACAAACCCUAUCUUCGUUAACAAUUGUCGAUUGGGUUCAUUUCACCUCUUCGCUUCCCUUCUGUAACGUUAAAAUUGUGACUCAUAAAGCUUUAUCAUUUAGUGCAAUCACUAUACAAUCUAUCUCUCCACUUCGAAUUUGCUGAGGAGAAGAAGAAAUAUGACGUAUAAUCUAUCUCUCCCCUGUCAUCCCAGUGUCAUCAACUCUGGAUCAAGCGCUAAAUCUCUGUCGUCAAAUCUCUGACAAAUCUGGAGAGAUUACGAGUCUCAUAAUUCAACUGUCCAGCGAGAUAUGGGACGGAAGCGAGUCGUUGAGUCCAUUGGAGGAAAUAUCUAAGAAUUUGCAUCUGCAGUGUUUUUAAUUUUCCUGGUCGAUCUUUUAUCUGAAAUUCUAAUCACUGGAUUUUCAAAUCAUUAGGAGGGACAUCCAAGAAGGAGCAAGCGAAAAAGAAUUUGUGGGGAAAUGUAAAAACGAAGACAGACAAGAAGUUACUAUUGUACAUGUUGUCUGCAACAAGUUCAACCGUAUCACCAUUGUUAAAGGAGUUGGAACUUUUUGGUCAAAAGAAAUUUACUGCCAGUGCCUAACUCCUUUCAUAUUUUUAGUGACGACUGUAAUCACAAAACUACUUGGUGGUGAUUACAUGAAGCAGAGGUCCGCCAAAGUAGAUUCACAGCUGUAGAUAAACCACUGAAAACGACCUGCUGACCAUCGGUUGUAAAAUAAAGGCCAACAGAGGCUCUAAUUCGUUAAUGUGUCCAAAAUUUGGCAAGGGUUGCGUUGCCGGAGUUGCCAAGUUCCCUUUGGUAAAGUUGUGAGAUGUCUGAGCUGUUUGGUUGGCUUUACUGUUGCACAAACCCAACAAGGAGUUCAGAUUGUCUCAUGUGAUGCAGCUUAUUUUGGUUCUAGAGAGUGGUUGUGUUUAGUUAUUUGACCUGUAAAAGACUGAGAUGUGUUGUCUGUUGGUGCUGAAACAUUCACUUUUUAGAAGUAGCUCAAUCUUCUUAACGCAUCAGAUACGUUCCUCCGUGGGACAAAGGGCUAAGCCUAAUCCAGAUAAAGAAGAACAAAGUCACUUCUUCCAUGCACUCUUUAGUGGUACAAAAUUCUUCGGAUACAGCACAAGCGUACCAGUUUGGCGCUGAGACAGCUGACCUCCCUGUGCAAGAAGAAGAAAGGUGACAAUUUGAUUUGAUGUUCAAUAACAUGUUUACAGAGAAGUGGGACCUUUUAAGUUUACUCCCAAACAGAACAAACAAGAAAGCAUUUCUCAACUGAUAGAGCAGAUCAUGGAACUCGAAAACCUUGAAGAGAAAUGUAAACUUCAGGCUGAAGCAAAAGAUGAGUCAGAGAGAAUUCUCAGCUCUCAACCUUAAACCUCUAUAUCAACAGAAAAAAACUGGUGAGGAAAUCAUUAUCAUCAAUCAUCACAACAUAGCUCAUCCUCAUGGUAAGCAAAUCAUCUUACGGCGACAUAUGUAUGGCCUUAAUAAUGUCUGCUGCGGAACUGAAACCUAGAUUCUUCAAUCUUCAGUGACAUAAACCUGUGGAAUGUUGAGUUUAUGACGAUAUACAUGCAUGGUAUUAUAGAACCACAGGUUUUAAAAAGCGUGCCUUUAGGUUGCUAAGGUGUAUUAGAACCUAUCUCUCUCUCUUUCUGGGAAGACCAACAGAGCUUGAUGCUUUGAUGUAAUCAUAACACGAGAACUCGAGAAUGUUUGCUGAUUUCUUAAAGCUUGUGUGUUUAGCAUGCUUAAGUUUUUUGUUGGACUAAUUGUAUUUUAUUUACGAGCUGAUUUCUUCUACUA
This is a long non-coding RNA of Raphanus sativus (radish), 1918 nucleotides long. RefSeq lists it as uncharacterized. Lineage: Eukaryota; Viridiplantae; Streptophyta; Magnoliopsida; Brassicales; Brassicaceae. The transcript has 12 exons. The record is from RefSeq and is a predicted model, not a curated record.